GCCCUGCUCUCGCAAAGGCUGUAAAAACCAUGAAGAUAGGUGAAAAGGCACUCCUCACAGUGAAGCCACAAUAUGGGUUUGGGGAGAAAGGUAAAUCAGCCUCUAGUAAUGAAGGUGCAGUUCCACCAAAUGCAUCCCUCGAUAUUACUUUGGAGUUGGUAUCUUGGAAGACUGUUUCAGAAGUUACCCCUGACAAAAAGGUUAUCAAGAAAAUUCUGA
Molecule: unclassified non-coding RNA, 219 nt
Filed under: Hevea brasiliensis (rubber tree)
Lineage: Eukaryota; Viridiplantae; Streptophyta; Magnoliopsida; Malpighiales; Euphorbiaceae
Source: RNAcentral